GAUGAACGCUGGCGGCGUGCCUAAUACAUGCAAGUCGAGCGAACAGACGAGGAGCUUGCUCCUCUGACGUUAGCGGCGGACGGGUGAGUAACACGUGGAUAACCUACCUAUAAGACUGGGAUAACUUCGGGAAACCGGAGCUAAUACCGGAUAAUAUAUUGAACCGCAUGGUUCAAUAGUGAAAGACGGUUUUGCUGUCACUUAUAGCUGGAUCCGCGCCGCAUUAGCUAGUUGGUACGGUAACGGCUUACCAAGGCAACGAUGCGUAGCCGACCUGAGAGGGUGAUCGGCCACACUGGAACUGAGACACGGUCCAGACUCCUACGGGAGGCAGCAGUAGGGAAUCUUCCGCAAUGGGCGAAAGCCUGACGGAGCAACGCCGCGUGAGUGAUGAAGGUCUUCGGAUCGUAAAACUCUGUUAUUAGGGAAGAACAAAUGUGUAAGUAACUAUGCACGUCUUGACGGUACCUAAUCAGAAAGCCACGGCUAACUACGUG
This 497-nucleotide ribosomal RNA is filed under the name uncultured bacterium. Its description in RNAcentral is "partial 16S ribosomal RNA". It matches the Rfam family "Bacterial small subunit ribosomal RNA", at positions 28 to 507 of the family's 1533-position model. The record is from RNAcentral.